RNAcentral lists this ribosomal RNA (230 nucleotides) under uncultured bacterium. RNAcentral describes it as "partial 16S ribosomal RNA". It matches the Rfam family "Bacterial small subunit ribosomal RNA", at positions 118 to 347 of the family's 1533-position model. The record is from RNAcentral.
UGAGUAACCUGCCCUUGACCCUGGAAUAACAGCUGGAAACAGCUGCUAAUACCGGAUAUGACCUCCGAUGGCAUCAUCUGGAGGUGGAAAGCUCCGACGGUCAAGGAUGGGCUCGCGGCCUAUCAGCUUGUUGGUGAGGUAACGGCUCACCAAGGCUUCGACGGGUAGCCGGCCUGAGAGGGCGACCGGCCACACGUGGGACUGAGAUACCGGCCCAGACUCCGUAGGAG